RNAcentral lists this ribosomal RNA (381 nucleotides) under Triticum aestivum (bread wheat). Its description in RNAcentral is "partial small subunit ribosomal RNA". Lineage: Eukaryota; Viridiplantae; Streptophyta; Magnoliopsida; Poales; Poaceae. The record is from RNAcentral.
AUGGUGGUCGGUGAUUUUAAUGAGAUUCUUUAUUCCCAUGAGAACGACGGUGGAGCUCCAUGACCCAUGGGCGUGAUGCAAAAAUUUUGCGAUGCUUUGGUUGAUUGUGAACUAGAAGAUAAGGGUUGCUCGGGUGAACACUUUACAUGGUGACAAAGGAGACUUCGGGAGAUGCUAGACAGGGUGGUAUGUAAUGGCCAAUAUCGUGGGUUGUUUCCACACACAAGGGUCAUCCACGCAAAACAUACGAAGUCGGACCAUAGGCCGACUUUUGUGGACACAGAUGGUGACAUUCAAGGAAAUCAACAAUGUUCUCACCGAAAGCUGUUUGAGGCAAGAUGGCUUAAGGAGGAUAGUGUGGUGCAGAAGGUAAUUAACUGA